This is a non-coding RNA of Vicugna pacos (alpaca), 3442 nucleotides long. The record is from RefSeq and is a predicted model, not a curated record. NCBI's taxonomy places the organism in Eukaryota, Metazoa, Chordata, Mammalia, Artiodactyla, Camelidae.
UGAGUUCUACCUUGACUCCCAAUCCAGUGCUCCUUCGACCACUCCUCAAGAGAAAGUGUGGGGGUCGUGGGAAGAGGGAGAGGAUGGAAGAGGCAGGGACCUCAUGCCCAGCCCCCUCCAUAGUGCCUUGCACACAGUAGGUGCUUACUAAAUACAUGCUGAAUGUCUGGGUGGGUGGAUGGAUGGACAAACGGACAAACGGGUGGGUGUGGCCUAGCUCUGUGUGUUCCAGAUCCCAGCCACCCAGCCCAGCCCUUCCUGCCUCUGCUAACCUCAUUUGGUUGCUAGCAGACUUUCAUUUCUGCCAAGUCACUGCUCUCUACCCCGUGACGGGGCUGGCUGUGCCAGGAAUUUGGAGGGAAGAAGACUGACAGACCCUGAGAACUUCACCACUAGCUCCAUUUUCAAGAUGAGGAAACUGGGGCAGGGGGAGAUUCCUGAGGUUUGUUCAGCCCCAGAACGCCUCACCCCCCCAGCUGCCUUGGGCCCCCACCCUCAUGGGGAAGCCUUAGGACCCCUCUGUCAGAUCUGGGCAUCUGGCUGGGGGCAGGGCAGGGGGAGUCUGGUCAGCAGAUGGAGUUCCCUGAGUCAUUCCCAGGCCUCCCAGAGAUGUCCUAACAACCCACGUCAUUCCAAGGAAGCUCCAGCUGACCUCUGAGAGGCACAGCUGGGCUCCCCUUCCCACUCUGAUCCAGCCUAUGGGCUCCCCCCACUGCUCCCUCCCUCACGUCCCUCCCUCCUCUGGCCUCUCUCUCUCACCUCAGGACUCAGGAGCCCACCUCUGACCCCUACAUGCACUGUGGUCUUGGGCAGGCCCCUGCCUGUCUCUGAGCCUCAGCGGCUCAGCGGGGACAGCCGACUGCCUGCGUCCCUUCUGACCUUGACCCUGCAGGCCUCCUGGCCAUCAGAGCUCUGUCCUCCCUUCUCCCUCCAUCUACACUCCCCCUUUCUCUCUGGACUCUCUCCAGGCCCCAGUGUGGCCUCCUCAACCCACCUUGCCUUCUCCAUUCUCUGUUCUUCCUCCUGCUGCCUACCCUCCUCAGAGAACGCCAAGUCUGCAGCUUUCCCUGACCUUGAAGAGACAGCAGGGUGGGAGCCAGCAGCUCGAGCUUGGCAAAGGGGCCUCUGGCAAAGAAGCCCUGUUCAGUUGGUCCUGGGGGCUGCACCGUCCUUGCAGCGCCCCCAACACACACCCUAUCCCACGUGCCCUAGUUUACUUUCCUCUAUUGCUUUUCUCAUCUUCUCACUUCAUUGAUGUAUUAUUGUCCAUCCCCUUGGUAGAAGGUCAGUUCCAUAAGGGCAGGGAUUUUUGUCUACUGUCAUCAUUGCUCUGUUCCCAACGCCCAGAACAGUGCCUAGCGCACAGCAGGUGCUCAGUGAGUAACUGAUGAAGAUUUCCUCCACUCUCCGAUGACAACCACCAUUUAUGGAGCGAGUACUUGUGCAACGCCCUUCCAACACCCCCGCCCCCCGCGCGCCUCCGAUCAACAGCCCUUUGUGCCCAGGACUAUGCCGGGCCCCUUUGGGAAGAUGGGGAAACUGAGAAUCAAGCAGGAAGAGUUCAAAGGGAAGAAGGAGUCCGAGGUCACACAGUGGUAGCUGGUAGAGACCGGAUUCGAACCCACGCAUCCAGACCACGGCGCCUGCGCUCUCAGGCGGGGGACGCUUGCAUCCCGCAACGGGAAAGCCGAGACGGCCGGCUCAAUCCAAACGCCAGGCCUCCGGCCACGCCCCUACUUGGGAACCGAGAAACUGAGGCACCCUGGCUUCCUCGGAUUCCCUGGAAGUCUCCUUCCCAAACCUGUCAAUCCGGGAACCAGCCCGCGCCCCCCAUCCCUCUCCUCGGCCCGAGACGGAGCUUCGCCCGCGCCCACCGGGAGCCGGGGAGGGAGAGAAAAAUGAGUUUUCCUGCCGCCCGGUGGCGGUGUCAAUUGAUCGGGCGCGGGCGGGGGCCGCGCGCCGGGCUGGGGGCCUUGCUCGCAGCUGCCGGCGCACAAUUAUCGGGAAAAAACUGGGGCGGCUGCUGCGGUGAAAUUAGUUAUCGAUCCCUCGGCGGGGCCGCGGGGCCGCGCUCGGCGCUGACGGCUGCAGACCCGGGCCGGGCCCGCCGGGUGGGGUGUGGGGAGGAGGGCGCAGCGGUGGGGGCGGGCCCUCCUCUCCCCCCUCCCCUCCGCCGCCCUCCCCACCCGGCAGUCCUCCUCCUCCCCGCGCCCUCCCUGCCGCUCUGCUCUCUCCUCUCCCCUUUAUCCCGCCGCGGUAUCGACCCACGGCCGGCCCCGCGCGGACAGGCGCCCCCGUGCGGCCCCCGCCCUCCGCUCUGGCCGCCCCGCCCGUGGCCCUGGCGCCCGGCGCCCCGCGUGGCGCGGGGGUGCGGAGAACGCCCCCAGUGUGGGCCCUGCCCCCGGGCCAGCGCCGGCGAGGAGGAAAGACAAACCCCUGCUCGCUGUAGACCGGGGUUCGGAGCGCUCCUGCCUGCGAAAUGUGUGGCCUUGGGCAAGCCCCUGCCUCUGUCCCGAGCCUAAUACAAAAAGGGGUUUGGACCUUAUGUCCCCCAAGGCUCCUUCAGGCUCACCCACCUUCUCUCUGCUGCCCCUUCCCCUGCCUGCCUGCCAGCCACAGCCUCAUCAUCCCUCUAGCACAGCUCCGUCCAGUAUCUGCUAUGUGCCAGGGCAUACUGAGAGCAAGAUGGCCCCUUGGGGGUUCCCUCUUGGGGCAAGGUGGGUAUUGAGCAGAUUAGGAAUAGCUGUGGUGAGUUCAGGGGACUGUGACAGGUUAUGGCUGGGGGUGGGGGAUUGGCCACCAGGGAGGACAUCCUAAGAGCAGACAUGACAUUUGAGCUGCAACUGAAGGUGGAGUAGGAGGGUUCAAGGGCAGGGGGAGCAGCAUGGGUUAAGGGUGAAGUCCAAAUGGAAUUUGGAACAUUCGAGAAACUGGGAAAGGCUAGUGUGCUGGAGGGCAAGAGAAGAGGGGGAGGUCGGCAGGGUCCAGUCAGGGAGGGGUUGGGAGUGUGAGGAUUAGUCCCAGUGAAGGGGAGCACGGAAGGGCUUUGAGUAGGGGGAUGACAGGGUCAAGUUCAUCCCUGAAGUUGGAAGCCUACAGAGGAGUCCUGGCUCUGUUCUUGGUCUCUCUGAGCCUCAGUUUCCUCCCCUGUGAAAAAGAGAUAAUGAUCUUCAUCACUGUAGGGGCUGUGGGCUUUGGAGGGGGUCAGCCCUGGGUUCAUAUUGUCUUGGGCGAGGUCAACAAGUGACUCAGUCAAAGGGGCAGGGUGGUAUGAAACUUGGGGGCUCCCCCUCCCAAGAUUUCCUGGCUCCCCAAGGGGGCUCCAAAGGUGGUGCUGAAGGUCUCCCAUGCGAAAGUGGGCCCUCUGCUGGCCACAGGAGCCCUGGUCUGAGGAAGAGGAGAGUGGGAGGAAGAUAAAAUCAAGGAGUAAUUCCUGAAUUCC